RNAcentral lists this small RNA (773 nucleotides) under Rattus norvegicus (Norway rat). Its description in RNAcentral is "uncharacterized LOC102550307". The record is from RNAcentral. Lineage: Eukaryota; Metazoa; Chordata; Mammalia; Rodentia; Muridae.
UUCUAUUCUCUCAUUAACCUCUCCAUGUGGAACCAUGUUGGCUUGCUUGGUGUGGUCUGAUGAGAGCCAAGGUUUAAACCCCAAAAGUUCAGUUUCAGUUUGAAAGAAGCAGCUAGGACCCUGACACCACAGCUUCCGUGAGAAAUGGACAGUGUCUGCUAGAAGCACAGUAUGUGACACAGAGUAUGUGAAUGUGAUCUCUUCUUGUGAGGACACUGGUCAUAUUAGAUUUAAGGCCCACGCUAAUGUACUAUGACCUCAUCUUAGGACGAUGACAUCUACAAAGAUCUCAUUUCCAGCAUGCCUGCCUCAUUAUCCCCAGGGGUUUGGAAUUGAGUGUGCGUUUUUGAGGGACACAGUUCAACCUCCAACAAUGUUUUUCUCUGUGGAAUUCAAACACGAAGCAUAUGCAGACUGCAACUGUCGGGAGGAAUUCACAGAAGAGUGAUGUGAUGAGCCCAUGUACAAGCAGAAGCACAGAAAAGGCUCAAACCUCGAAGUUCCUGACACAGAUAACACCACUGCCAAAACUAAAACAAAGGCCUACUCCAGCAAAGCCCAUAGUUCUGGGAAAGUCUCUAAACAUACUAACCUUGGUUUUUGCCUUCUGCAGGUCAGCUUCUGGGUAACUCUUCUUGUUAAUGGGGAUAGGACAACCUAGUACAUAAUUUUUACCCUUAAAACUCACCCGAGAACGGCUUAGUGCUCCACUGGGGUCCUAAACACCAGCUGACAGUGAAGCCUUUCUGUUGGCUUAAACCCAUAUCUGAGCA